RNAcentral lists this ribosomal RNA (253 nucleotides) under uncultured bacterium. RNAcentral describes it as "partial 16S ribosomal RNA". It matches the Rfam family "Bacterial small subunit ribosomal RNA", at positions 524 to 776 of the family's 1533-position model. The record is from RNAcentral.
UACAGAGGGUGCGAGCGUUAUUCGGAAUUACUGGGCGUAAAGCGCGCGUAGGCGGCUUUGCAAGUCGGGUGUGGAAUCCCCAGGCUUAACCUGGGAACUGCAUUCGAGACUGCAUUGCUAGAGUAUGGGAGAGGGAAGUGGAAUUUCCGGUGUAGCGGUGAAAUGCGUAGAUAUCGGAAGGAACAGCAGUGGCGAAAGCGACUUCCUGGACCAAUACUGACGCUCAUGUGCGAAAGCGUGGGGAGCAAACAGG